This is a long non-coding RNA of Pseudophryne corroboree (corroboree frog), 840 nucleotides long. RefSeq lists it as uncharacterized. Lineage: Eukaryota; Metazoa; Chordata; Amphibia; Anura; Myobatrachidae. The transcript has 3 exons. The record is from RefSeq and is a predicted model, not a curated record.
UCCCGAGAGCUGCCUCCUGCGGCACUGUCUCUCCCUCCAGCUGGCGUGCAUGUGAGGGGAUAGCCGGCCGCAGCUACUAUUGACUUCAGCAUGAUAUAAGAUGUCCAGGGCACACUGCAGUCUCUCCAUGCCGCCCAGGAGUCCGGUUCAAGAGGCUGUCAGUGGCGGGUUCCUGCACUUGGCCUGGCUGAGUUGGGUGAAGAAUGGGAUCCCCUGAAGCGAGAGACUAGUUGUGUGCAGGUGUGGCGAAUGUGGUGACAAUGGCUGUGGGCUGUCGAGAGUUGCAUUGGUGGGACGGCUGAUACCUCUGACAUGCGUCGACGUGGUGUUGUGAUGUGUACUGGCCGUGAAGACACACCUAGACUGCGUUUCCGUGGUGGCAACACGUGUGUGGAUGGACCUAAAAAAAAAAAAAAAUUAAUAUUGUAUCACAAUUGAUGUGAAAACACACCCAGUGCUAAUGUACUUACCAGCAUCAUCAGCAUUAGUAGGAGUGGAGACUGGCCCAGAGGCUGAAUGUGACUUUUUGGAGACUGUAAAUGUAUAUGCAGCAUUUAAUUUUCAUCCAAACAAUUUAAUGAACACACAUAUGUUGCUACUCAUGAAUUCAAAGCUCAUGUUUAUCAAAAUUUCUAAAUAAUGUAUAUUUAACAAGAUAUAUGUUAUAAAAAAUGUUUGCAUACUUUCUAAACAACUAUAAAACAUAAUGUGACUAACCAUAUAUAAAAAAAAAGCCCCACCUCUCUUUCGUUUGGAAAACAUACAAUGCAGAUGAAAACAAAGUAUGGUUGGAAUAAUUUUUAUACACAAUACCCCCCCCCCCAAAUAAAUAAAUAAAUA